CAGGAUUGUUUCAUUAAGCAAAUAGACGACCUCGUCUUUGCUAUACACAAACUCAUGGGAUGGAAUUUUAAGCAGUUACGAUAUCAUAAUCAGUCAGAGGUUUGACUCUGUUGUUCAGUGAUAGACUCCACUGCUAGAGGCUUCAGGAGCUGCAGGAAAUGACAAGCCUAUCUUUUGGAUUUGUCCUGUUUAUGUUAGGUUUUGCUUGAAGAGGGAAGGAAUGAGUUGUGGUGCAUGCUCUUUCUCAAGGUGUUUACAUGUAGAACAAGACUUCAAGGAGGGGAAAAUAAUGUUCGUUUGGACACUGUAGCUUUUGAUUCUGAAAUUUGGGGUUCUCAUCUAUAAAACAUGAGCAUAAAGAGUGACAAGAUGAGGUGAAAGCUGCAUUGCAAGGUGAAUGAUUUUAUGGAGAAAAGGGGAAGAGUGAAAGAAACUCUUUCGAAGCUAUCCAAUCAAUGAAAAUGGAAUAUAUUACUUAAGAGAUAUGUGAUUUGAAAUGUUGGAAAUCAGAUGAAAGUCCAGUUGGAAGAGAUGAUUUCUGAAUAGAUCCUUAAUGUUUAGAAGAAACUGUUUCUUCCUUGAUUGAGCAGAAAUAUCUUUCCUUAUUUUAUAAACUAUUAGACUAACUAUUUAUGUAACAAAAAAUUGAGUUUAUACCUCUUCCUUCCUUUACCUUCAAUGUAUAUAAAUAACUAUAGCCAUGUGACAUAGUAAAAUGUUCACAUUUUUUUUCUUUACAAUUUGCUACAAAGGAAAUGUUUGAAGGACUUAAGAUGUCCAAAGAUAAAGCCAGCUCAUCA
Molecule: long non-coding RNA, 800 nt
Filed under: Vulpes vulpes (red fox)
Lineage: Eukaryota; Metazoa; Chordata; Mammalia; Carnivora; Canidae
Description: lncRNA (ENSVVUG00000009204.1)
Source: RNAcentral